UACAGAGGUCUCAAGCGUUGUUCGGAUUCAUUGGGCGUAAAGGGUGCGUAGGCGGCGCGGUAAGUCGGGUGUGAAAUCUCGGAGCUUAACUCCGAACUGCAUUCGAUACUGCCGUGCUUGAGGACUGGAGAGGAGACUGGAAUUUACGGUGUAGCAGUGAAAUGCGUAGAGAUCGUAAGGAAGACCAGUGGCGAAGGCGGGUCUCUGGACAGUUCCUGACACUGAGGCACGAAGGCCAGGGGAGCAAACGGG
RNAcentral lists this ribosomal RNA (252 nucleotides) under uncultured bacterium. RNAcentral describes it as "partial 16S ribosomal RNA". It matches the Rfam family "Bacterial small subunit ribosomal RNA", at positions 524 to 776 of the family's 1533-position model. The record is from RNAcentral.